CCUACGGGAGGCAGCAGUGGGGGAUAUUGGACAAUGGGGGGAACCCUGAUCCAGCGACACCGCGUGAGUGAAGAAGUAUUUCGGUAUGUAAAGCUCUGUCAGCAGGGAAGAAAGAAAUGACGGUACCUGACCAAGAAGCCCCGGCUAACUACGUGCCAGCAGCCGCGGUAAUACGUAGGGGGCAAGCGUUAUCCGGAAUUACUGGGUGUAAAGGGAGCGUAGACGGUUAAGUAAGUCUGGAGUGAAAGGCCGGGGCGCAACCCCGGGACUGCUCUGGAAACUAUUGAAAUUGAGUGCAGGAGAGGUAAGCGGAAUUCCUAGUGUAGCGGUGAAAUGCGUAGAUAUUAGGAGGAACACCAGUGGCGAAGGCGGCUUACUGGACUGUAACUGACGUUGAGGCUCGAAAGCGUGGGGAGCAAACAGGAUUAGAUACCCGAGUAGUC
Molecule: ribosomal RNA, 443 nt
Filed under: uncultured bacterium
Lineage: Bacteria
Description: partial 16S ribosomal RNA
Rfam family: Bacterial small subunit ribosomal RNA
Source: RNAcentral